UAGAAUAUGGUGUAAUAUGGUAGCACGGAGAUUUUUGAAUUCUUAGGAGUAGGUUCAAAUCCUGCAAUUCUAG
RNAcentral lists this transfer RNA (73 nucleotides) under Talpa martinorum. Its description in RNAcentral is "tRNA-Gln". It matches the Rfam family "tRNA". From Rfam's summary of the family: Transfer RNA (tRNA) molecules are approximately 80 nucleotides in length. The record is from RNAcentral. Lineage: Eukaryota; Metazoa; Chordata; Mammalia; Eulipotyphla; Talpidae.